GUUCCCGUAGUUUAAAAAAAACGUCGGUCUUGUAAAUCGAUAUUAAGGCCUAGCCUUCUAGAACU
RNAcentral lists this transfer RNA (65 nucleotides) under Pteronarcella badia. RNAcentral's name for it is "tRNA-Thr". It matches the Rfam family "tRNA". From Rfam's summary of the family: Transfer RNA (tRNA) molecules are approximately 80 nucleotides in length. The record is from RNAcentral. Lineage: Eukaryota; Metazoa; Arthropoda; Insecta; Plecoptera; Pteronarcyidae.